This 961-nucleotide long non-coding RNA is filed under the name Homo sapiens (human). RNAcentral describes it as "HSALNT0250575". Lineage: Eukaryota; Metazoa; Chordata; Mammalia; Primates; Hominidae. The record is from RNAcentral.
CAUUAAGAGGCAGAGAUUUUUCUACUGUAUUCAGAAAAUUACAUGCUAAUAAAAUAGGAAUAUGAUUUGAGAAAUUUCUAAUACAAAUUGAUUUUUACAUUAAUGAUUUCAGUAUUCAGUUCUAGGAAAGGAGAAAGACUGGUUCUGCAUGUAGGUUAGAUAUGAAUGAAAAUAAGUGAAAAUAAGUAGGCUCACUCCUGCACCAUGCACAACCCCACAUGAGACUCUGUGGGGUCACAAUAGUGUGAUUCCUGCCUGUUGAAGAUUCACUGUCUAGCCAGAAAGAUGAUUGACAUACAUAAACCAAUUAGAGAGCAACGUGAGAUAAAACAGAAUUAAAUUAGUGCAGUGUUGUGUUUUGCAGACUGCAAGUGAUAGCUUCAUUUGGAGACCUAGGAGAACACUGGACCAAGGAAAAUGACAAUGAAACUAAAGUGGGCUCCGGCAGAAGAAGGUGCUUUCUGGAUGAAAGAGGAGAAGCUGGAAGAUGCCCGGCAAGAGGCCUCGGUCCUUCCUGGAAGACCAUGAAGUCCAGUGCAGCUAUCGGUACUCAACACCAGAAGCCCAGAGAGGAAAGAAACACCAAUGCCACACAGUAACUAACUGGAAAGCUUACUAGACUUGUGGGUAGACACAAAUGCAUAUGAGACAUUCUGGGGGGUUCUCAGAUGGAUUGGUGUAGAGGUAUUCUAAAAGGAGUUGGAGGAGAGAAAAGAAAUAGAUGAAAGGAAACAGUAAAAUCUGGGUUAUUAGUUGAAGCCCCAGACCCUUAUGUGAGGACUGAUGCUACUCUAAAUGCAUACAGUAUGUAGAUAGCUUUCUGUCUUCUUUAUGUUUACUAAAUUUUUGAAAAGUAAUUGUUUUUUAAUCAUUUCUCUAUCUUUAUAUAAACUUUUUCAAAUUGUCAUGUAUUUUCUUAUUGUAUUAUUUUAUUUACAAAUAAAAUUAUACAAUACAAAGA